UACGUAGGGUGCAAGCGUUAAUCGGAAUUACUGGGCGUAAAGCGUGCGCAGGCGGUUUUGUAAGUCAGAUGUGAAAUCCCCGGGCUCAACCUGGGAACUCGCGUUUGUGACUGUAUGACUAGAGUACGGUAGAGAGGGGUGGAAUUCUGGUGUAGCGGUGAAAUGCGCAGAUAUCAGGAGGAACACCGAUGGCGAAGGCAGGUCUCUGGGCCACUACUGACGCUGAGAAGCGAAAGCAUGGGGAGCGAACAGG
RNAcentral lists this ribosomal RNA (253 nucleotides) under uncultured bacterium. Its description in RNAcentral is "partial 16S ribosomal RNA". It matches the Rfam family "Bacterial small subunit ribosomal RNA", at positions 524 to 776 of the family's 1533-position model. The record is from RNAcentral.